Molecule: ribosomal RNA, 507 nt
Filed under: uncultured bacterium
Lineage: Bacteria
Description: bacterial SSU rRNA
Rfam family: Bacterial small subunit ribosomal RNA
Source: RNAcentral
AUUGAACGCUGGCGGCAGGCCUAACACAUGCAAGUCGAGCGGUAACACAGGGAGCUUGCUCCUGGGUGACGAGCGGCGGACGGGUGAGUAAUGUCUGGGAAACUGCCUGAUGGAGGGGGAUAACUACUGGAAACGGUAGCUAAUACCGCAUAACGUCGCAAGAGCAAAGAGGGGGACCUUAGGGCCUCUCGCCAUCAGAUGUGCCCAGAUGGGAUUAGCUAGUAGGUGGGGUAAGAGCUCACCUAGGCGACGAUCCCUAGCUGGUCUGAGAGGAUGACCAGCCACACUGGGACUGAGACACGGCCCAGACUCCUACGGGAGGCAGCAGUGGGGAAUAUUGCACAAUGGGCGCAAGCCUGAUGCAGCCAUGCCGCGUGUGUGAAGAAGGCCUUAGGGUUGUAAAGCACUUUCAGCGGGGAGGAAGGGUAGUAAAUUAAUACUUUGCUGUUUUGACGUUACCGACAGAAUAAGCACCGGCUAACUCUGUGCCAGCAGCCGCCGUAAAAC